AGCAGUCGCCGCGGUAAUACGUAGGGUGCAAGCGUUAAUCGGAAUUACUGGGCGUAAAGCGUGCGCAGGCGGUUUUGUAAGACAGAGGUGAAAUCCCCGGGCUCAACCUGGGAACUGCCUUUGUGACUGCAAGGCUAGAGUACGGCAGAGGGGGAUGGAAUUCCGCGUGUAGCAGUGAAAUGCGUAGAUAUGCGGAGGAACACCGAUGGCGAAGGCAAUCCCCUGGGCCUGUACUGACACUGAGGUGCGAAAGCGUGGGGAGCAAACAGGAUUAGAUACCCGUGUAGUCCCUGUCUCUUAUAC
RNAcentral lists this ribosomal RNA (303 nucleotides) under uncultured bacterium. Its description in RNAcentral is "partial 16S ribosomal RNA". It matches the Rfam family "Bacterial small subunit ribosomal RNA", at positions 507 to 807 of the family's 1533-position model. The record is from RNAcentral.